RNAcentral lists this ribosomal RNA (253 nucleotides) under uncultured bacterium. RNAcentral describes it as "partial 16S ribosomal RNA". It matches the Rfam family "Bacterial small subunit ribosomal RNA", at positions 524 to 776 of the family's 1533-position model. The record is from RNAcentral.
UACGGAGGGUGCGAGCGUUGUCCGGAAUCACUGGGCGUAAAGGGCGCGUAGGCGGCCUGAUAAGUAGGGGGUGAAAUCCUGCGGCUUAACCGCAGGGCUGCCUUCUAAACUGUCGGGCUAGAGCACGGUAGAGGCAGAUGGAAUUCCCGGUGUAGCGGUGGAAUGCGUAGAGAUCGGGAAGAACAUCGGUGGCGAAGGCGGUCUGCUGGGCCGUUGCUGACGCUGAGGCGCGACAGCGUGGGGAGCAAACAGG